This 558-nucleotide ribosomal RNA is filed under the name Fusarium redolens. Its description in RNAcentral is "eukaryotic LSU rRNA". The stretch from base 191 to 344 matches the Rfam family "5.8S ribosomal RNA". The record is from RNAcentral. Lineage: Eukaryota; Fungi; Ascomycota; Sordariomycetes; Hypocreales; Nectriaceae.
GUAACAAGGUCUCCGUUGGUGAACCAGCGGAGGGAUCAUUACCGAGUUUACAACUCCCAAACCCCUGUGAACAUACCUUACUGUUGCCUCGGCGGAUCAGCCCGCUCCCGGUAAAACGGGACGGCCCGCCAGAGGACCCCUAAACUCUGUUUCUAUAUGUAACUUCUGAGUAAAACCAUAAAUAAAUCAAAACUUUCAACAACGGAUCUCUUGGUUCUGGCAUCGAUGAAGAACGCAGCAAAAUGCGAUAAGUAAUGUGAAUUGCAGAAUUCAGUGAAUCAUCGAAUCUUUGAACGCACAUUGCGCCCGCCAGUAUUCUGGCGGGCAUGCCUGUUCGAGCGUCAUUUCAACCCUCAAGCCCUCGGGUUUGGUGUUGGGGAUCGGCGAGCCUUUCUGGCAAGCCGGCCCCGAAAUCUAGUGGCGGUCUCGCUGCAGCCUCCAUUGCGUAGUAGUAAAACCCUCGCAACUGGAACGCGGCGCGGCCAAGCCGUUAAACCCCCAACUUCUGAAUGUUGACCUCGGAUCAGGUAGGAAUACCCGCUGAACUUAAGCAUAUCA